RNAcentral lists this ribosomal RNA (480 nucleotides) under Scolopendra viridis. Its description in RNAcentral is "partial 16S ribosomal RNA". It matches the Rfam family "Bacterial large subunit ribosomal RNA", at positions 1829 to 2600 of the family's 2925-position model. Lineage: Eukaryota; Metazoa; Arthropoda; Chilopoda; Scolopendromorpha; Scolopendridae. The record is from RNAcentral.
CGCUUAAAGAGUUUAAUUUUAAGUAAGACCUGCUCAAUGUAAUAAUAAAUAGCUGCAGUAUAUUGACUGUACAAAGGUAGCAUAAUAAUUAGUCUAUUAAUUGUAGUCUGGAAUGAAUGGUUUAACAAGAAAAUAACUUUUUUACCUUUAAAUUUGAAUUUUAAUUAUCAGUAAAAAUGCUGAUAUGAUACAAAAAGACGAGAAGACCCUAUAAAGUUUAAUAUUUGAAAAUGAAAUAUACAUUUAAAAAAUAUUUGGUUGGGGCGACUUUUUUUAUUAAACAAUUUAUUUAAAUACUUUAAUAGAAGUAAAAAGAUCCUCUAAUAGUGAUUAAUAGAAUAAAUUACUUUAGGGAUAACAGCGUAAUAUCUUCUUAGAGUACUUAUCGAUGAGGAUGUUUGCGACCUCGAUGUUGAAUUAGAAUUUCUUAUUGGCGUAGGGGCUAAAUAAGAUAGACUGUUCGUCUAUUAAAUUUCUACA